UACAGAGGUCCCAAGCGUUGUUCGGAUUCAUUGGGCGUAAAGGGUGCGUAGGUGGCGCUGUAAGUCGGGUGUGAAAUUUCGGAGCUUAACUCCGAAACUGCAUUCGAUACUGCGGUGCUUGAGGACUGGAGAGGAGACUGGAAUUCACGGUGUAGCGGUGAAAUGCGUAGAUAUCGUAAGGAAGACCAGUGGCGAAGGCGGGUCUCUGGACAGUUCCUGACGCUGAGGCACGAGGGCCAGGGGAGCAAACGGG
This 253-nucleotide ribosomal RNA is filed under the name uncultured bacterium. RNAcentral describes it as "partial 16S ribosomal RNA". It matches the Rfam family "Bacterial small subunit ribosomal RNA", at positions 524 to 776 of the family's 1533-position model. The record is from RNAcentral.